UUAAACAUGUCCUAGACCAAUCCUUU
This 26-nucleotide non-coding RNA is filed under the name Rattus norvegicus (Norway rat). Lineage: Eukaryota; Metazoa; Chordata; Mammalia; Rodentia; Muridae. The record is from RNAcentral.